RNAcentral lists this ribosomal RNA (492 nucleotides) under Triticum aestivum (bread wheat). RNAcentral describes it as "partial small subunit ribosomal RNA". Lineage: Eukaryota; Viridiplantae; Streptophyta; Magnoliopsida; Poales; Poaceae. The record is from RNAcentral.
AUGCAGGGAGCCCCCGCAGGGAGCCUCGCCGCUGCUGCCAUCACAUGGACAUGUUUGCACCGUGUUUCCUCCGACCCGGACAUGUCACGCCGCCACCUCCUCGAGUUCGCCGGCCGCUGUCGCUCGUCCUCCCCUGCAACCCCUGCCUCGCCAUGCAUGAGGACAAUGAUGACAGCGUGCCGCCAUCGACCGUCCCAGGCCAUCCUUCUCGCCUCGCUCGCGUGGGCGCACCGUCCUUCUCGCCUCGCUCGCGUGGGCCGCAUUGCGCGCGGGCAAGCCGGCCCUUGCCAAUGGAAGUGUCGGUGCGGCGGGGCCACUCGGGCUAGAGAUUAUUUAUUCCUUUGCUCCCUCACUUGCGGGGUUAAUUCCUUUGUUCGGAGAGGCGAUGUUGAGGAGGAGGCCGGGGUUGCGGAGGACAGCGGCGCAGCCUGGCUGGGGCCUCGGGGUGGCGCACGGAGAUGCGCGACGGGCGCUGGUGGUGGUCGCCGGUGA